This 1355-nucleotide long non-coding RNA is filed under the name Salvia miltiorrhiza (redroot sage). Its description in RNAcentral is "long non-coding RNA (SMIL_LNC010910)". The record is from RNAcentral. Lineage: Eukaryota; Viridiplantae; Streptophyta; Magnoliopsida; Lamiales; Lamiaceae.
AUCCCUCAUUCGCCGUUUCUAUCUUUAUUUCUCUCUUUCAAAAUCUCCCCUUCAUCGUUUCCAUUGAUUAUGCCCUAAUUCACGGUCGCCAUUAAUUCUUAAUUGUUUCCAUUGAUUAUGCAUUGACCAACUGUCUAUCAACAACAUAUCAGUUGGCUACAAUUUAUUAUGCCGAACCUUUUCAAUUAUAAAUCAUUGCUUCAAAGAUUUACUUUUUACAUUCCCAAAUCCCAAACCUGUUUUCAGCCGACCCGUUCCACUUUUGUACAAUUAAGAACCCAGGUUAUCUUCGGCUAAUUAUCUCAUCUCCGGUUAAUCAUCCAUCGAUUUUUGAAUUUUGUUCAUUGAGAUCACUUGUAGUGAGUUAUCUAAUUGAUUUCGCUUCUUUUUCUGUUAUGGUCGUGAUUAUGGUGUUUUUUUGUUUCGUUUUCCAUAUCUGGUCGAAUUUGUUGUUUGCGAUUAUGAUCGUCAUGGUGUUUUUUGUUUUCAUUUUAUUUCAAGACUUAAAUAUAAAUAUGCAGGCAUACCAAUCGUUUGAUGAAAUGCCUAAAUCAUGAUAGUCUAACCUCUCCGAUAUGUUUAAUGGCUAUGUUCACCCUUAGUUAUGGAGAUUUAGAGAGUGUCACAACCUGUUAAUUAUACUACUUCAUAUUGGAGUAGAGUUAUACUUAGCUCUUUUUUUUUAAUUGGAUGGAUUUGGAAUUGUGAGUUCCAAAUAUUACUAAAAGAAUUUCAUUGUGUUUUAUUUUCAUAUACUGAACAGUAAUGAACUCCUAACUUGAUCAUAAAUGGGAUUAUAGAAUCAUCUUUUCAGAUAUCAAAAUCUUUCAUAAAACUAUUUUUUUAUUCCGUUAACAUUGUAAUUAGUUUUGAUCUUUACUAAAGAGUAAACUUCAACUUCAUUAACUUUUUCUAUUCUUGGCUCCAAAAUUCACUAAUACCAUUUGGGUUGUGCGUGGCAGACUCUUUAGGAAUUUUGACAUCGAUGAAAAGAAGUCUAUAUCAGCACAUGAGCUGAAGUAGCUUAUAACGAGAGUCAAGUUCCAAUUGUAUAAAUUGACGUGUUAUGUGAGGCUCUUUCAAAGAGUUUAAGGCUUUCAAAGAGUUUGAUCGGAAUAGUAAUGAUUUUACUGAUGAGCCAGAGUUGUGAAUGAGAUGACAAAAUAUAUGGGUAAGGUCAUUCAAGUUGUACAUACAUCGCAAGUUGAUGGGAUAAAAAUCAUUGAAGAUUUGAGAUUUUAACAGUUUGCAUUAGGAAUUGAGAUUAGCGGUGGUUGAUAAUUCCAUCUGAGAAAUGAGUUUGUUUUGUUUUAUGAGCGUGCAGAUUGUGUGGAAAGGAGAAUAUUAGAAGUGUG